Molecule: long non-coding RNA, 926 nt
Organism: Eucalyptus grandis
Lineage: Eukaryota; Viridiplantae; Streptophyta; Magnoliopsida; Myrtales; Myrtaceae
Exons: 4
Source: RefSeq, a predicted model, not a curated record
CUCUGUUUCUGUUUUGGCCUCAAUCCCAACAAUUUAUGUUCAUAGAUGGAUGCGAAGUUGGGGUACUUGCCAGAGGAUGGCCCUCCCUCUCUCCCUCCAGGAGAUCCCUUUCAUCAGCGUUGAUAGCAUUCGGAUCCAAUGGAGUAAAAUCAAUCAUGCCCGGGCCAUGAUAAUAGAUUUGUCUCCGUUGACUUCUUUUUGUUCCUCAGAUUGUUUGCAGUUGAUAUCUCCUGCUUGUUCCAAGGACACAUUGAGAAUGUAGUUCUUCUUAAGCAGCAAUAUGGAUGGAACAAAACCGAAAAUGAGGUCAUCAUCGUCAUAGAAGCUUAUAGAACUCUGAGGGAUUGGAGGCCUUACCCUGCUGAUCAAGUUGUGAGAGACAUCACCAGGAAGUUUGUUUUUGUGCUCUUCGACAGCUCUUCUAAAACCGCUUUUCAGGCCUCAUAUAUUGAUGAAGUGUUGCCUUCUUCUGGGGAAGUGAUUCUGGAGGCAAUCUUGUUCUCUCAGAUGGUGCAGAAGUCGUGAAGAUAGGCUGUGGAAAAUCUUUCGCACCAUUCCCUAAAGCUCCGGAGUUUUGAGGAGUUAUGAGCACCCACCGAAUGAGGUGAAGCUGGUUCCUAGGGUGGACAGCUCUGGCCAUGUGUGCGGCGCCACAUUCAAAGUGGAUGCAGAGACUAAGGACUCCAGCAUGCCUAGAGUUGGGAGUGCUGUGAACUGGUCCUCAUUCUACUGAGUCGUAUGGUUUAUGGUCCUUUUUUGGACAGGCCUUUAGCUAUUGGAGGGCCUUCUGUUGCCAAUAACCCAGUCAUGCUUUCUCAUACAUUGCAAAUUUUUCAGCUCUAAUGGUUGUUUACUCCAUGUCGAGAGUUUGAGAUGACAUUGUAUUAUGCAGCUGUAUAUGUUGCUUAUAAAACCAAGCCUUUACA